Molecule: small nuclear RNA, 105 nt
Filed under: Octodon degus (degu)
Lineage: Eukaryota; Metazoa; Chordata; Mammalia; Rodentia; Octodontidae
Source: RNAcentral
GUGCUUGCUUUGGCAGCACAUAAUUAAAACUGGAAUGAUACAGAGAUUAACAUGAGCCCUGAGCAAGGGUAACAGACAAACUUGGGGGGGGGGGUCCAUACCUUC